Molecule: ribosomal RNA, 1878 nt
Filed under: Corynebacterium sp. HMSC058E07
Lineage: Bacteria; Bacillati; Actinomycetota; Actinomycetes; Mycobacteriales; Corynebacteriaceae
Description: bacterial LSU rRNA
Rfam family: Bacterial large subunit ribosomal RNA
Source: RNAcentral
AGUGGCGUGUCCUGGACCCGAAGCGGGGUGAUCUACCCAUGGCCAGUGUGAAGCAGCUGUAAGAGGCUGUGGAGGCGCGAACCCACUUAGGUUGAAAACUGAGGGGAUGAGCUGUGGGUAGGGGUGAAAGGCCAAUCAAACUCCGUGAUAGCUGGUUCUCCCCGAAAUGCAUUUAGGUGCAGCGUCGUGUGUUUCUUGCCGGAGGUAGAGCUACUGGUUGGUUGAGCGGGACUAUCAUCUUAGCGACGUCAGCCAAACUCCGAAUGCCGGUAAGUCAGAGCGCGGCAGUGAGACUGCGGGGGAUAAGCUUCGUUAGUCGAGAGGGAAACAGCCCAGAUCGCCGGUUAAGGCCCCUAAGAGUGUGCUAAGUGGAAAAGGAUGUGGGAUCGCGAAGACAGCCAGGAGGUUGGCUUAGAAGCAGCCAUCCUUGAAAGAGUGCGUAAUAGCUCACUGGUCGAGUGGUUCUGCGCCGACAAUGUAGUGGGGCUCAAGUACACCGCCGAAACCGCGGAACUCAAUCUUUUGGUUGGGUUGGUAGGGGAGCGUCGUGUGAUCGUUGAAGCUGCCGGGUAACCGUGUGGUGGAGGUUAUGCGAGUGAGAAUGCAGGCAUGAGUAGCGAAUGAUAUGUGCGAAACAUAUCCGCCGGAUGACUAAGGGUUCCUGGGUCAAGCUAAUCUUCCCAGGGUGAGUCGGGUCCUAAGGCGAGGCCGACAGGCGUAGUCGAUGGUUAACGGGUUGAUAUUCCCGUACCCGUGUGUGUGCGACCAAUGGUGAAUCAGUGAUACUAACCACCCUGAAGGAUGCUGCAUGCAUUUUGUGUGUGUGGUGUGUGGAUGCGUGGGACCUGAUCUGGUAGUAGCCAAGCGAUGGGGUGACGCAGGAAGGUAGCCAAGCCACUGAUUGGAUUGUGGUGUAAGCGUGUGGCCCGCGGGAUAGGUAAAUCCGUUCUGCGUUGUGGGUGAGGCGUGAUGCGUACCCGUUGUGGGGAUGUUGGUGAUCCUAUGCUGUCGAGAAAAGCCUCUAGUGAGUGCAUGUACGGCCCGUACCGUAAACCGACACAGGUGGUCAGGUAGAGAAUACUAAGGCGUUCGGGUGAACUGUGGUUAAGGAAUUCGGCAAAAUGGCCCCGUAACUUCGGGAGAAGGGGUGCCACUGCUGGUGAACGACGUGUUGAGCUGGUGGUGGUCGCAGAGAAUAGAGGGAAGCGACUGUUUACUAAAAACACAGGUCCGUGCGAAGACUUUAAGUCGAUGUAUACGGACUGACGCCUGCCCGGUGCUGGAAGGUUAAGAGGACCUGUUAGACCCUUGGGUCGAAGCGGAGAAUUUAAGCCCCAGUAAACGGCGGUGGUAACUAUAACCAUCCUAAGGUAGCGAAAUUCCUUGUCGGGUAAGUUCCGACCUGCACGAAUGGCGUAACGACUUCCCUGCUGUCUCAACCACAGGCCCGGUGAAAUUGCAGUACGAGUAAAGAUGCUCGUUACGCGCGGCAGGACGAAAAGACCCCGGGACCUUCACUAUAGCUUGGUAUUGGUGUUCGGUUCGGUUUGUGUAGGAUAGGUGGGAGACUGUGAAGUGGUCACGCUAGUGGUUGUGGAGUCGUUGGUGAAAUACCACUCUGAUCGGAUUGGGCAUCUGAACCUCGGCCCGUGAUCCGGGUUAGGGACAGUGCCUGGUGGGUAGUUUAACUGGGGCGGUUGCCUCCCAAAGUGUAACGGAGGCGCCCAAAGGUUCCCUCAGCCUGGUUGGCAAUCAGGUGUUGAGUGUAAGUGCACAAGGGAGCUUGACUGUGAGACUGACAGGUCGAGCAGGUACGAAAGUAGGGACUAGUGAUCCGGCACCGGCUUGUGGAAGCGGUGUCGCUCAACGGAUAAAAGG